CAAUAGCAUAUAUUAAAGUUGUUGCGGUUAAAAAGCUCGUAGUUGGAUCUCUGGUCUUGUCGGCCGGUCGCCCUCUGGGUUGUACUGGUUGGUGGACCCGAAUUGCUAGUUGUGCUGUGUGCGCUCUUCGGUGGGUGCGUACAGUGGCUAGCGCGUUUACUUUGAAAAAAUUAGAGUGCUCAAAGCAGGCCCGCCGCCUGAAUAGUGGUGCAUGGAAUAAUGGAAUAGGACGUCAGUUCUAUUUGUUGGUUCGGAAUUUGACGUAAUGAUUAAGAGGGACAGACGGGGGCAUUCGUAUUGCUACGUUAGAGGUGAAAUUCUUGGAUCGUAGCACGACGAACAACUGCGAAAGCAUUUGCCAAGAAUGUUUUCAUUAA
This 377-nucleotide ribosomal RNA is filed under the name uncultured eukaryote. RNAcentral describes it as "partial 18S ribosomal RNA". It matches the Rfam family "Eukaryotic small subunit ribosomal RNA", at positions 592 to 976 of the family's 1831-position model. The record is from RNAcentral.